AAUAUCUGCCCAUCGCUCUGAUUAGGCACUUCAUUACCUACUGCCUUACACUCUUCUCUAUUUUUUAAAAAUUGUGUCUUCUCUGACACCUAAGUUGCUUGAGAAAGAGAACAAUAUUUCUGAAUGCCCCCACUAUUUGCGGUCUAGUGUUAAAAAGAAGAGAUAUGGGCAUUGAUCAUCAUUCAUACAGAUUGUGUUAGAAAGGUGUUGGCUCUGGCAGGAUUCUGUGGGAGUGCAGACCAGCUGAUACUACCACUGACAAAACCAAAAAUUUUCUCAGUCCAAGCAAGGAUCCAAAGAUUGGAUCUCCAGGACUAACUUACAGGCACCUAAGGGCCUUUGAACCAAACUCUUCUAACAGGAACACAGGCUCCUUUAGCAAGGGGUAAAGGAAAUAUGAAUACCCAAUAAUGAAAGAUGGGUGCAGCCACUUUGGAAUAUAGUCCAGCAACUUUCCAGAAGGGUAAACACAGAAUUGUAUAAAUAUGAUUCAGCAACUGUGCUCCUAGGCACAUACCCAAGAGCAGUGAAAACAUACAACCAUGGCAAAAACUUGCACAACCGUGUUCACAGCAUUAUUCAUAAGAGCCAAAAAGUAGAAACAAGCCAAAUGCCCAUCAAAUGAUGAAUGAAUAAUCUAGACACCAGAUCUAUACACCAGAAUAUUAUUUGGCAAUGAAGAAGAGGCAAGUACUGAUAUGCUCUACAAUACAGACAAAACCAGAAGACAUGAUGCUUAGUGAAAUAAGCCAGAGAGAAAAGACCACAUAUUGCAUGGUUCCAUUUACAUGGAACAUCCAAGGACAGGAAAAUCAAUAGAUACAAAAAGAAACUUAGGGUUGCAAAGGAGUAGGAGGAGUUGGAGGGAAGUGGGGAGCAAUCCCUAAUAGGUAUAAGGUUCCUUUCUGGGGUGAUGAAAAUAUUCUAAAAUUGAUUGUGGUGAUCACUGCACAACUGCAUACACUAAAAAAUUUCCAAUUGUGUAUUUUAA
This is a long non-coding RNA of Canis lupus familiaris (dog), 991 nucleotides long. RefSeq lists it as uncharacterized. NCBI's taxonomy places the organism in Eukaryota, Metazoa, Chordata, Mammalia, Carnivora, Canidae. The transcript is spliced from 4 exons. The record is from RefSeq and is a predicted model, not a curated record.